UGGGCCAUGAACUGGAAGUGUGGAGUGA
RNAcentral lists this non-coding RNA (28 nucleotides) under Callithrix jacchus (white-tufted-ear marmoset). The record is from RNAcentral. Lineage: Eukaryota; Metazoa; Chordata; Mammalia; Primates; Cebidae. RNAcentral also lists the same sequence under 2 other names.